GGGGGUAUAGCACAGUGGUAGAGCACCCGCAUACGUAUCGGAAGGUCGGGGGUUCGACUCCCUCUGCCUCCA
Non-coding RNA from Pristionchus pacificus, 72 nucleotides. The record is from Rfam. Lineage: Eukaryota; Metazoa; Nematoda; Chromadorea; Rhabditida; Neodiplogasteridae.